This 301-nucleotide ribosomal RNA is filed under the name uncultured bacterium. RNAcentral's name for it is "partial 16S ribosomal RNA". It matches the Rfam family "Bacterial small subunit ribosomal RNA", at positions 509 to 808 of the family's 1533-position model. The record is from RNAcentral.
CAGUAGCCGCGGGAAUACGUAGGUCCCGAGCGUUGUCCGGAUUUAUUGGGCGUAAAGCGAGCGCAGGCGGUUUGAUAAGUCUGAAGUUAAAGGCUGUGGCUCAACCAUAGUUCGCUUUGGAAACUGUCAAACUUGAGUGCAGAAGGGGAGAGUGGAAUUCCAUGUGUAGCGGUGAAAUGCGUAGAUAUAUGGAGGAACACCGGUGGCGAAAGCGGCUCUCUGGCCUGUAACUGACGCUGAGGCUCGAAAGCGUGGGGGGCGAACAGGAUUAGAUACCCCCGUAGUCCCUGUCUCUUAUACA